AGAGGUGUGCUCAAAUGGUUAGAGUACCUGCCUAGGAAGCAUGAGGCUCUGAGUUCAAGUCCCAGUACCACAA
This 73-nucleotide transfer RNA is filed under the name Dipodomys ordii (Ord's kangaroo rat). It matches the Rfam family "tRNA". Rfam says of the family: Transfer RNA (tRNA) molecules are approximately 80 nucleotides in length. Their secondary structure includes four short double-helical elements and three loops (D, anti-codon, and T loops). Lineage: Eukaryota; Metazoa; Chordata; Mammalia; Rodentia; Heteromyidae. The record is from Rfam by way of RNAcentral.